GGGCCUGAAAAGGUUUCGACGGGGUAUCUUAAGUCGAAGAAGCUAUCCGCAGGAGUGCGUUAAACCCAAAAUUAAACUAAACGCUGAAGAUAAUUUAGCAUACGCUGCCUAAGCGCAGCGCGUCGUCCUUAGUGCACCUGCACAUUAAGUAAACGGCGUCGACUUGCAGGAAACGGAUGCGCAAAGCUUUGAGCGUAUUGCAGAUUCAUGAAGCUACUGAAACCGUAACGUUGUCUGUGGCAUUGCGGCAGAGGGAAUGACUGACCAGAGACUAUGAUAGUAGAAGGGCGAGGGCGGAUAUUUCGGACACGGGUUCAACUCCCGUCAGGUCCACUU
RNAcentral lists this transfer-messenger RNA (336 nucleotides) under Lachnospiraceae. RNAcentral's name for it is "NK4A136 sp000421045 Standard tmRNA". It matches the Rfam family "transfer-messenger RNA". Rfam says of the family: Bacterial tmRNA, also known as 10Sa RNA or SsrA, is named for its dual tRNA and mRNA-like properties. Its role is to liberate the mRNA from a stalled ribosome. Lineage: Bacteria; Bacillati; Bacillota; Clostridia; Lachnospirales. The record is from RNAcentral. RNAcentral also lists the same sequence under 1 other name.